GUCUUUGGGGGCAGCAGUGGGGAAUAUUGGGCAAUGGCCGAAAGGCUGACCCAGCAACGCCGCGUGGUGGAUGAAGCCCUUCGGGGUGUAAACACCUUUUCUGAGGGAAGAUAAUGACGUA
RNAcentral lists this ribosomal RNA (121 nucleotides) under uncultured Sulfurihydrogenibium sp. RNAcentral's name for it is "partial 16S ribosomal RNA". It matches the Rfam family "Bacterial small subunit ribosomal RNA", at positions 337 to 458 of the family's 1533-position model. Lineage: Bacteria; Pseudomonadati; Aquificota; Aquificia; Aquificales; Hydrogenothermaceae. The record is from RNAcentral.